GUGAGUUUAGAGACACCAAUAGGCCCUUACAAAAUGAGACAAUGGAAGCUUCAAAUUCAUGUAUGAAGUUUGUUCAUAUUUAUAUCUUAUUUUUUUCUACUAUUUCACAUCUUGACUAGUUAUCCUUGUACGUGCUACUUGGUAUGACUGUUGUAAAAGAUGUACAUGACCAUAUUACUGGAAUGGCUGAGGAAAUUGAAGUGCAAGCUACUGCUCCAAAAGCAAGCUCUUAGAAAGUGGGUAGGAUUGCUUGCUGUUGGUUUUGUCAUGUUCCAAGACACACCAAAAAAUCUUGCCCUUAUUGGAGAGCACAAGCUUGGAGAAAUAGGAUGGCUAGUGUGAAAAGAAGAAAACAAACAGCUCAUAGGCUUCUGGAUGAGCUAGAUGGUGCCGCUCAAGAUCCAUUUGAAACCUAGAAGUAGAGGCUGUUGGGACACUAGCAAAGCAUAUGUGCAAACCUGUUUUGUUGUGUUUUUGAGAAAUGCAGAUUAGCAUAUUUUUUGGUUGAAACAAUAGCAGUUCAAGCCUGUUUUUUCAGUAGCAGUAGCUUGUUCAAACUUGAAGUAGUAGCAGCUUAUCUCUAUGUUCAAUUUUUUGGACGAAGCAGUUGCAGUUCAAGUCUAUUUUGUUGUGUUUUUGAAGAUUUUCAGAUCUGUAUAUUUUUUGGUUGAAACAAUUGCAAUACAUCCCCUGUUUUGCCAUGUUUUUGAAGAAUUGUAGAUUCGCAUAUUUUUUGGUUGAA
Coffea eugenioides is the source of this 742-nucleotide long non-coding RNA. RefSeq lists it as uncharacterized. The transcript is spliced from 2 exons. The record is from RefSeq and is a predicted model, not a curated record. Lineage: Eukaryota; Viridiplantae; Streptophyta; Magnoliopsida; Gentianales; Rubiaceae.